GAUGAACGCUAGCUACAGGCUUAACACAUGCAAGUCGAGGGGCAGCAUGACGGAAGCUUGCUUCCGUUGAUGGCGACCGGCGCACGGGUGAGUAACGCGUAUCCAACCUGCCCAUCACUUGGGAAUAACCUUGCGAAAGUAAGACUAAUACCCAAUGAUAUCCCACGAAGGCAUCCGAAUGGGAUUAAAGAUUUAUCGGUGAUGGAUGGGGAUGCGUCUGAUUAGCUUGUUGGCGGGGUAACGGCCCACCAAGGCUACGAUCGGUAGGGGUUCUGAGAGGAAGGUCCCCCACAUUGGAACUGAGACACGGUCCAAACUCCUACGGGAGGCAGCAGUGAGGAAUAUUGGUCAAUGGGCGAAAGCCUGAACCAGCCAAGUAGCGUGCAGGAUGACGGCCCUAUGGGUUGUAAACUGCUUUUAGGCGGGGGUAAAGUGGCGGACGUGUUCCGCCUUUGCAAGUACCGCCAGAAAAAGGACCGGCUAAUUCCGUG
RNAcentral lists this ribosomal RNA (491 nucleotides) under uncultured bacterium. RNAcentral describes it as "bacterial SSU rRNA". It matches the Rfam family "Bacterial small subunit ribosomal RNA", at positions 28 to 507 of the family's 1533-position model. The record is from RNAcentral.